RNAcentral lists this long non-coding RNA (264 nucleotides) under Brassica napus (rape). RNAcentral's name for it is "long non-coding RNA (BNAP_LNC006581)". The record is from RNAcentral. Lineage: Eukaryota; Viridiplantae; Streptophyta; Magnoliopsida; Brassicales; Brassicaceae.
AAAAAAAAAAAAAAAAAAAAAAAAAAAAAAAAAAAAAAAAAAAAAAAAAAAAAAAAAAAAAAAAAAAAAAAAAAAAAAAAAAAAAAAAAAAAAAAAAAAAAAAAAAAAAAAAAAAAAAAAAAAGCAAAUACUAAUAUACAAUAUUUGUAAGAAAUGAAGUAAACUACAAAUUCUAAUAUUUUUAGGAUCUUAUAUCCGAGCCGAUCCGUUAUAUAUAUUUACAUAUAUUUUAAUUUUUUGAGAUCAAACAAUCUUCUAUAACUC